UAUUCGCACUCUCUAACUCUCUUCCCUUUUUACACGUACUCCCCAAUUCUGCGACUUCUUCACACAGUCUCCCUGUUACCGCUUUAAUCACACUCCCUAACUCUGGUCCCUCUUUACACACGCUCCCUAAUCCCACACCCUCUUUAUACAGACUCCCAAAUUCACCACCCUCUUUACACAUGCUCCCAAACACUGGCCCCUCUUUAUACACACUCUCGAACUCCAUUCCCUUUUUACACACACUCCCCAGCUCUUCUCCGUCUUCCAACAAGCUCCCUAAUUGCCCACCCUUUUUACACACAAUCCCUAAUUCUCAUCCGUCCUGAUGCACACUUCCCAAUUCAAUUUAAUUCUUUGCACAAGAUCUCUAAAUCCACUUUUUCUUCAGGUAAUCUCCAAGGACGCUAAUACGCAAACAUUCCCAAAUUCACUCGAGUUUUAACUGCACUGUCGGAGGGUCGGUAAUGAGGGAGCGCCGCACUGUCGGAGGACAUUUCAGCACUGCUAUGCUCAAGGACUGAAAGCUAGUCAGUUGUUCAACCACACAAUCACAGCAGGAUGGCCAGAAACCCACGAAGGAUUCUUAGAACAACGAAGAGAAAUGAGAGAUUGAACAGGUUUUUGACUGAGUUUUGGGACAGAAGGUUGGAAAACUGCUGGACUGUUUGAAUUUUCAUCUGUCUAGUUUGGUAUCCAUUAAAGAAUUGUUGACUGUUCUGAGAAACAAAAAAGAAGUCACUGUUUGUUAAAAGUAAGUGAAUAUUUCUCUGACCCUGCUGAAAGCCAUUUUCAGUGACUUCAGAAAUCAUGCAAGAUCUGUUCCUAUGUAUCCGUAACACAAUGCACUGUUCAAGGAUCCUAUGAAGCCUUGAUUGUCAUGGUUGAAAUGUUCAUUAAAUUGGCAAAUUACAACGCU
Long non-coding RNA from Rhincodon typus (whale shark), 916 nucleotides. RefSeq lists it as uncharacterized. Lineage: Eukaryota; Metazoa; Chordata; Chondrichthyes; Orectolobiformes; Rhincodontidae. The transcript has 2 exons. The record is from RefSeq and is a predicted model, not a curated record.